Long non-coding RNA from Manis pentadactyla (Chinese pangolin), 8027 nucleotides. RefSeq lists it as uncharacterized. The transcript has 5 exons. NCBI's taxonomy places the organism in Eukaryota, Metazoa, Chordata, Mammalia, Pholidota, Manidae. The record is from RefSeq and is a predicted model, not a curated record.
AUUAUUCAACAUUUCCUAUGGCCUAUGAGUUCAACUCAGAUUUUAUAAUACUUUAUUUUAUAUACUAAAUAUGUCUUAACAGAUACUUAGUGAAAGAUGGGAUAAUUGACAGAUAGGAAAAGGGAAUGAGAAAAUCACAGUUUAGUAAAAUAAAGUUUCACAUAACUAUAUCAAUAUUAGGUCUUACAUUAAAAGGAAAGCUAUAUUUAGGAUGUCUAUUACAUACUAUCAUUGAUAUGAGUCAUUUCCCUUUGAUUCAAGCAACCCAAACCCUAGCUUCUUAUUUUAGCAUAUAAUCUGCACAAACCAGCAUAUUUUACAUCUCAGUUCUGUCCUUUUAGGUUCCUCAAAAAAAAACUCAUCUUAUGUUAGUCCUGUCAGUGGGAUUUUAAAUCCAAUAAUGAGAAUAGCUAAUACCAAAUAUCAUAUAUUAGAACAAUUUUACUUUUGACAAUAAAGUUGAAUUCAGUUAAAAUUUGCAGACAUUGCAAAAGGAAAAGUGAAGGAGUCUUGCAUCUUAAUUAACAAAACAAAAUGACCUGGACUGAGAUGAACACACACCCAGACACGUCAGAUAUCCAGACACACACAGACACUCCACACAUAUGCAGACACAUAAAAACACACAGACACACAGAGACAUACACACAAACACAGCAACACACACACAGAGAAUCAUGCAGACAUGUACACACUCACCUGCAACAGUGAGUGGUUUUCACAUCUCCUUUAUAGCAAUACCGAUUAUCUAGUACUUUCUUCGGCACAGUAGCCCAUUUUAUGUUCAAAAGUGAAAGGAAAAAGUUGCCACCUAGUUUACUUCAUUUAAGUUUCCAGGGUCUUUCUUAUCAACCUUAAUAGUCACCUCCUCUGCCAUCCUCUUCCAGUGAGGGCUCUAUCCUGUUAGGCAUGAUCACUAUUUGGGUCUUCUUCUCUGGCUUGAGCUUCUGCUAUGUCACCUUAUCAGUGUGUCACCUUAUUGGCUCCUGGAUGGCGCCAACUGAUGAUGGUGUAAGAACAUAAUUAUACCAACUCUUUAAGGGAGACUUCCCAGGAAAUGACUUUGGAAAUCAAUCAGAAGUGAUUAACCAAAGGGAUCACAACUUGUCUCUGGUCCAGCCUUAGCUAACUGUUAGUUACACAAUGUGCUAAAUUUGGAGCCCAAGUGGUUAAAAGCGAGUUCGGUGUUUCCAACUAAUCAAUAAGGGCAGAUGCAUUUACUGAGCAUCUAUCCAAAGCUCUAGGAAUGGAGGGAUACAAAGACGAGUGGUCUAUAUGCCCCCAUCAAGAGUUUAAUAAUUAAUGGGACAAAAAAGGCAUUGUAAACCCUCACAAUGAAAUCAUCAUGAAAACACAAAGGCUAAAGUACUGGAAGACCAAGAGAAAGAAACCACUGCUGAAGUCAAAAACUACAUGAUGACUGCAAAGAAGUUUUCUCACAAAGCUAUUCAAUAGAUUAAAUGUUUUACACAGUCUAGAAAGGUUUCAGAAUAUUGUAUAAGAUUUAAUCUGGGUCCAGUGGAUUUGUUGGAAAACAAUGAUUGUUACUUUGUCAAGUAAGGUAUAUAGCAUUUGCAAGUAGAGUAUAUCCCAAUUAAACUAGGAUUCUUUAGGGUUCCACACACUCCAAAAAGUAAAAUCUUUAUUCAACCAUCAGGUGGAAUCAAUCCAGGUUUUGUUAAACCACUGUAUCCAAGCAGUAGAGAUACUUUUAAACUUGGGAAUUUUUUAAGUUGAAUAAAAAUUAUCCAUGUUUGUGCAUGUUUGUGCAUGUAUACAAAUAUGGUUUCAUAUAGUAAUAUAUAUGUGGCUUCUAACAUUAAUACUUCCCUCCAAUAAGACUGCUGGUACUUCUUAAAUCAUGUGGACAACAGAAUAGUCUCCAUUAUGGCACAAUUUGGACCACUCUGUGUGCCCCAGGUCAUCUACCCUGAAAUCACACAUUCAUUCAACAAAUAUUACUGAAGACCUACUGGUCUGGCCCUCAGUCUGGAUACAUGUGAAAAAAAAAAUUAGUAACAAAAAAAGACAAAACUCUCUGCCCUCACGGAGCUUAUAAUUAGCUAUAAACAUAGCUGAGAAGCAAGUUUUAUGAUAAGCUAGAGGGUGGUAACCUGGGAAAAAAUAUGGCAAUGGUGAGGCGAUGUGGAAUGCCGGGCUUCCGGGGACUGAUGGGAAAAGAGCACAGGGGAGGAAAGCCUUCACGAAGGUUCAAGAGAACCCGGACAGACAGCUCCCAGCCUUUUGAAUGGAAAAACAUCUACUUGAUGCCUUAAGAACUGAAGGAGAUUACAUCACAGCCCAGAAAAGGAACCACUGAAGAGAGAAGAGGAAACAUCAAGGCUCUAAAUCCCCAGGCCAUUCUGUUGUCAGUGGGUUCUCAGUGGCCAUUGCCCCUUCCACCCUGUGGCUGCCCCUCUCUCAGGAGCCCUGGCUGCCAGGACACCUCCUUCUACUGUUUCAGGAGGUCCCAUUCCCUGUAUUUAACCCCCCUAGAGGAAGACAGGAUGAUGUUGUCAAUUAUUAUGCAGAGCAAAAUAGCUCUUGUUUCUCCAAAGAUAUCUAAAUUACCUAUGUCAGGAAACCCUGUCUCUCAUUACCAGAUGGACCAAUUAAGAUAUCUUCCUUAAGCCUAUUAAUGGACACUUGAAGCACACUUUUUAAAAUAACCAUUUCCCUUUCUCAUUACAGUGUAACUCAGAAAUAUCUACUAUACUGUAAUUAAUUGUUGGAUUUUCCACUUCCCUCAUUAGAAAGCAAGAUCUUUGAAGUCAGGCACUGUGGUUUAUUCAUUAUUGUUUCCCUGAUAUGAAACCUAUUUGACCCUAUCUCAUAUCAUUCAUAAAAAUUAAUUCCAGGUAGGUCAUAGAUCUAAAUGUGAAUGGAAAACAAUAAAAUUCUAAAAGAGAAUACAGGGAUAUCUUCAUGAACUUGGAGUGGGUAAAGAGUUCUUAAAAAGAAGACCAAAAGCAUUGAGCAUAAAGGAAAAGCUUAUAAAUUGGCCUUUAUUAUAAUUAGGAAUUUCAUCAAAAGAUAUCAUUAACAGAGAGAAUGAGCAAGCCAGACUGGGAGAAGAUAUUUGCAAUACAUAUGGAACCAAGGACUUAUGUCCAGAAUAUAUAAAGAAGUUCUAUAAAUCAAUAAAAAAAGACAAUCCCAUAGAAAUGUACCCUAAAGAAUUGAACAGCCACUUCAUAAAAGAGCUGUCCAGUCAAUAUACACAUGAAAAAGUACCCAGCAUGUCACCCCCAGGGAAAUACAGCCUAAACUCAAAUUAGAUCCCAGGAUGCAUAAACCAGCCAGAAUUACUAAAUGAGGCUAACAUUGGCAGGCAGUGGGGGAGAUGGCGGCAGCCUGAACUCUCAGCCACUGUUGGUGGAAGCAUCCACGUGUGCCAUGUGCUAAAAUGGAGCAUACACAUGCAGUGUCACCCAGCAAUUCUACUGCUAGGAACAUCGCCAGCCAAAAUGAGGACAAAUGUUCACCAAAAGAUAUCUACAAGAAUCUUUAUUGUGCCAGAAUUCACAGCAACUACGAGGGUGGAGCACCAACGCAUCUAAAGAGCAGAAUGAAAAAAUACUUUGCGGUAUACUAUAAAAAAGAACGGGAUAGCUUCCUAACAAUUUUAAAUGCAAAAACUCAUCUCAAGUGUUAAAAACAGGUGAGUGGAUGCCUUGGUGAGGCAGUGAUGGGCAUGGGAAGGACCCAGGAGUGGUCGUAGUAUUUCACAUCCUGAUCUGGGUGGUGGUGACUCCGACACAUUUGCUCUAGUGAAAAUUCUUCACUCUGAGCACUUCAAGUGGGCACAUUUCUUUGAUUUGUGCCCUUUCCAGCAUAUGAGUUGCACUACACUAAAACUCACUGAAAUUAUUUAUGUCCAACGGUUUGGACUCUAGAAUGUUUUUCUAAAUAAAUGGCAAUACCCUGAGCAACCAACUGAGCUGGAUGUUAGCAAAACAGAACUUGGCAACCUCCAUCCGUGAACAAGAACAGUCUGCACAUUCCAACCCUCCGUGGGAUGGAGUGAAGAUUCCGGGGCUGCUAGUGUGCCAGUGUGAGUACUUCUGCAUGGUCACAGCUCGUGUCUUAGUGAGGUGGUGUAAGACUGCCUUUUGCCCCUCCCAUGGCUAAUAUAAAUGCUUACAUUAAAGACUGCAUUGCAGCAGUGAAAGGUGUGCUGGUAUCUCAGGUUGGCUGUGAGCUACAAUGGGCCUUAUAAUGUUUACCAGUCACUGCACACUUUAGUCAUUAAUUUGCCCAGCACUUGGAGCUAUCUCAAGUAUAAAAAGUGCUAUAUGAGCCAAAAUUCUAUCCCCUUCUUUAUUAAUCAUAUUUGAUUAAUAUCAUUUGAAAUAUCAUUAAAUAAUUUUAAUGCAGGUGUGUGGAUUAAAGCUAUUCUAGAGCAUCCUGACAUAAACAUUGACAAAUUACAUGCAGGUUUAAGUUUGCACAAGUGAUUAAUCAUUAAUCUGCUAUUCUACAGUUGAAAUUAAUUAUUACACUCAUAUUUACAUGACUGGUUCAGAUAUGUCCAACUAUUAACACAGUGCCAUUUGCCCCAAAUCAUUUUUAAACACAAUAUUAUAUAUUUAAUGUACAACAAGGACAGAGAACAAGAGAAAAUCAGAUCAGAGCUCUAAUUUCACAUGUCUUACAUUCAGGUUUAGCUGGUUAACUUUUCUUAACUGCUGAGGUGAUUAAAAUGUUUUAUUUGUUCUGUCCUCACAGAAGUUUAAUAGGAGAAUAUCACUGCUAUAAUUAAGUGGACCAGGGUGUACUUCCUCCAAUUUUAGCUGUAAAUAUCAUCACGAUUUACUUACACACAAUGUAUUUGGAUUUUCCAUCUUUUCUCAUAGGAAUGAAUACAGAGGAAGCUUUGAGGAGGUUACACAUGCCUAGUGGGAAAAAUCCAAGGACCAGAGGCCUGAGAAUCAUGUGGAGAUGAUUUGUUCUGUCUCCCUGCUGCUGGGAGGGCUCACCUGAACCAUUUCAGACAGGUGGAUAUGUAUCUUGCUCUCCAGCUCAUAUCUGGUUGGUGUAGCACCCCAAAUGCUAGCUGUCCUAAAACUGGAGACUCAAGGCAAAGUGAUCCAUCCCUCUGUGGGCCACUAGUGCCAAAGCCAGCACCUCUCAGCCACCUCCUGAGACACCUGCCUGAGGCCUGCUUCCUAGUCACCUGCCUUCAUGUCUCUGACAUUCAGACCAGGAUGACAAGUGUAUCUCUUAUGCCUAUAAAUGAGGUAGACCUUUCAACUCAAUGUCUCUGGUGGAAGUAGCCUGGGUGUGACCCUGUGAGCUCAUGGUCUGCUGAUCUGACUGCUUUUCUAGGUUUCCGCACCACCAGGUGAGAACCAAGGCCCCCAGGUAUUCCGAGAGUGUGUUCUCAGUCUAUUUCACGCUUCUCCUCCAGGCCCACAUCUAACAGGUCACACAUGUCUGGGCUACUCUGAGAGGCAUCACUGGAGCUCUCUCAUCAAAGACUCAGAGGCAUACAGCAAAGAAGCUGACUGACUGUCUACUGAACUAGUCCCAGCAGCCACGAGCCGUCCACAGGCUGUCUUCCCUGGGCACGUGUGGGCUUCUGAAGCGCAUCUUCCCUGGGCACAUCACUGCCUCAUGGAAAGGCCUUUCCCCACUGCAGGGGAAAGAUCAAGGGUAGUCCCCUAGGCCUGGCCAGGCUGAUGGUGUCAGGGACAGACGCCUCACCCGACCUGAGCUAUCACAUCCCACUUUUGGGAUUUGGAGCUGAAACUAAGAAAAUUCCAUCUGUCUCUCUGGAAGGUUAAAACUGUGAGAGGCAAACAAGAACCAGAAGAUAGCCAGAUCCUGUUAUACAAAGCAGCAAAACAGGACAGGGGAAAGAAACAGAGACAGAGACACAAAGAUAAAGAAGUAGCCGUGUGGCGAAGCAGGAAUGAGAACCAGCACCUUCUUCAAGCUUCUCUUCAUUCCUGCUCAGCAGUUCUGAGAUGUCCCAUGUCCUGUGACAAACUUCCACUUUAAGCUAAAUGUUUAUUUCUGUUGCCUGAAACUAAACACUCUGACCAACAAGAUGGUGAAGCCUGUGGCUGAGCUCUGUGUGCGGUAAUUGUCUCAUAACAGUCUUUAGCAUAGAUUCAAAUGCAAAAGGACCAAAAGCAAAACACUUCUAUGUAGUAAAGUCUAAUAAUUAAUUUUCUCCUGACCUAGAACCCAUAGGAAUUAGGAAGUGAUCUGCAGGAGCUGGCCAGCACUCUCCAGGUCACACACACAAGCAAGAGGAGUCAGGCGCCAGCAUCAGGCUCAGAGUGCUCAUCCUCGUGUACAGCACAGAACAGCUGUGCCCCCUUCCUGUCCCAAGUCUCAGCCACUGCUCGUGUUUGUGCUUGCAGUGUUGACCCAUUUGAGCUUUUUAACUACCUAAGACUAACCUUGCUCUCUGUAGUUCUUCUGUUCCAGUUAUGUGAAAUAAAUUUCAACCAUGUAUCCUAUAUGCAUUUAAGAUUCUAGAAGAACCCCUUAGAGGUUGACCCAACAAAUAAAUGACCUAGUAUUUGCAAGCCAUUGGAAUGCCUGGUGCACAGUAAGUGAUUAGUGAAGGCCUGCUUACUGCCUCCAGAACAUUCACACGCUUCUGGAUAUCUCUUUGCCUCUAGGUGGGGACAGGUCACCAUUUCUGGCUGAUGUGCCAGGAAGAAAUGGCAUGGAUUAUAGGUAGACUGACACCAAUAAGUGUAGCUCUGCAUUUUGCUAUGACUUUCUUUUCCCACCGUGCCACCGAGUUUUAGCACACGGGGGCUGCAGACUGUGGUGUGGGAGCAUUCACAGGACAUGGUUCUCCAGUAUCAGUGAGGGGCAAGGCCCUCAUCUGGCUUGUGUUGUACAGACAAGGGGCCAGAGGUGGGCCAUAAUCAUGUUAAGUCUCUACACAGUGAUAGCAUUGAGUAUUGAUAGCACAGAAUAAUGUCUCCCAUCAAGAAACAGCAAACAGUCUCACAACUUUUGCUUCCUAUGUACCAAACUGAGGCAGGGCAAUAUUUCAUUAAAGAGCAAAAUUACAAAGAAUCAGGUCCGAAUCUUGGAGCUUCACACAUGCUCUUCAUUUGGAGCACUUCGCCCUCCCUACUGAAAUCCUUAGCCAUCAGGGCAAACACAAGAGUAAGGGGUGGCCUCCUGAAAAGUGUCAGGUCUCCAAGAGCUCUGGACUCCUCCCUGUUUGCUGCAGGCUGGUAGCCUUGGGAUAGUGGACAUUAUGUCAACUGCAGGAGUUUCCCAUGUACAUAGAGAUGAGGAAAGUGGAGAUCAAGUGAAGGGACAUGUGUAACACCACAGUAUCUGGAAUGUUCCAUUCAUGUUAGCUACAGAGCUUGGUAAGCAGAUGGACGGGUGGCACUUGUGAGGUAGGCAGAUGUGAGCCCCAGUGCUGUGGCCGGGCCCAGGGGCAUUGCAUGGGGGAUGCUCACCCACAUGGACCAUCCCAGAGUGCUGCUGGCACUCACAUGGGUUUUGAUCACAGAAUGUCUUUGAGUCCCCUUGGACUUUGAGGGAAGUCCAGCAAAAGCGAGAAUAGUUUGAUUAUAAUUUGCCACAAGCACUAGCAGAGUCUGCCCAAAGAAGGUUUUAAGUUUAUUAUAGGAAGUGAAAGCAGAACAAGUCCAUAAAAAAAGGCUUUCUUUUGUAUUGUUUGUUCUGUUUGUUUUUGUGCUAGGCCUGUGAUUUUCCUGUUUGGCUUGGUUUAAAAAACCCUCCCAUUUGGUUAACGACAGAGAGGCUGCAGAGCGGGCAGGUCUGGCUUUCUUUGCAUGCCUCUGAAUGCAUAUAAUUUCUGGCUAUUUACAGGGAGCAAUGUCAAGGUUUAUGGGUGUGCUGAGAAAAAAAUGGCAGGAAUCUCAGCAAAGUGACAAACGGCCUAAUGGGGGCAGGUGAGCCAAAUGUCCUUGGCAAGGAAAUGCCUGGACCCUGACCAGAAACUGAAUUUUAGUGUUUCAGGUUUUGCUAAUCUGCAAGAGAAGGAUCCAGACUUGCUCUAAAAUAAAGACCAGGUUUCA